Molecule: non-coding RNA, 1784 nt
Organism: Malus domestica (apple)
Lineage: Eukaryota; Viridiplantae; Streptophyta; Magnoliopsida; Rosales; Rosaceae
Source: RefSeq, a predicted model, not a curated record
AAUGCGAGGUAUGAGAGAAAAAAGAUGACACAAAUUAGACGAGCAAAGAGUUGGAAAGUGUAUUUGAAACAGUUGUUGUAGUAGUCUCACUCCAACUUCCCCACACAAACUUCCCCAUCCUUGCGCUCCAACUUCUUCCCGUUCCUCCUCCACUCUCUCUCUCUGGGUCUUACUCCUCCAUACAAAAACCGAAUCGUUGCCUAAAGUAACAGAGUCCAUCCCAUUGUCGCCAAAUCCCAUCAUCUUCUCAAACCAGUAGUUAUGUUGGAGAGACCUCGACGCUCUUGCCAAGGCAUCGCAAUGGGCGCCAUCAUCCUUUAUUUCCAAUCUGGUCUCGGAAUCGGUAAUCGCCAAUUAAUUUUUGAAUUUUUCCUUGAUAAUUGUCAAAUUAGCUCAAAAUUGCCAUGAAGAUCCAAUUAAUUUCUGAAUUCUUCCUUGAUAAUUGUUGAAUUAAUUCGAACUUGCCCUGAGAGAGGAAGAAGAUGAAGAUAGUGACGUACAACGUGAACGGGCUCAAAUUCCUGAAUUUAUUAGAUUGGCUUACAGGAACCAAACUGUAACCCGUUGGAAUUGACCGCCGCCCUGGUCAUGGCAGAGGGAUACGAGUCCUUCUCCUACAGCUGCACCUCUGAAAGAGGUUGCACCGGGUACUCUAGGUAAGUGUUUGUUGAAAUGCCUCAACCACACACACCACACUCUUCAAAUGUUGCACCUUUAGUUUCGAAUUUUGAUUCUUUUUUUUUUUUUGCAUAAAAUGUGGUUUGGUCCGAUGUUUUGCCGGUUGAAGUCGACAUUAUCGGGUGACGAAGAGGCGUUGCCGGUGGCGGUGGAGGAAGCAUUCACUGGAGUUCUUGACAGUGGGAAAGGAUAAAUGAAUGCAGUUGCGGAAGGGCUUAAGGAGUUUUCGAGAGAUGACCUACUGAAGUUGAUGGCAAAGGGUGGUGUGUUGUAACAGAUCAUGGGCAUUUUGUUCUCUUUUCAAUUUGAAAGGCCUCGAGCAGGGAAAAAUGAAACAGAAAGGAUACAGUUUAAGUUCAAGUUUUUCAAUUUGUAGUUCUCUUUUAUGUCAUUCAGAACGUUGGGCAGAGGAAAUCCUCAAUCUGCAAAACACGUUAUUGCAGACUGAGUUAGAGAAGUAGCAUAUGGCUUUGGAGUUGGAGGAAAAAAAAGCCCAAGCUGAAAGAGAGAAGAUGGUGCAACAGCAAGCUAAGAAAAUUGAGAACCUCAGCUCAAUGGUGUUGUAUUCAAAUAGAGAUAGAAUCGCGAUUGCUUUAAAAAGGUUAGGAGACGUGGUCGAUGACCGCCAGUGCCAACUCAAGAACUCAAGACAAGCCUCCAAUUUUUCCUUCACACGCUUCUUCUCUUUUAUUUGGAGCAAUUGGAGAUGGAGACCCAAAAUAAUAACUAGCCAAGGUAUACUUCAGUUUUCCAUUUUAUUAUUUGUCAUUUGCAGAGAUAUAAAUAGAGCAGUUAUGUACUAUGAGUAUCAGAUUUCUUUGUCUACAUUGCGGGUAGUCAAAUGGUUGAAACAGUUUGUUGUUAAAUGGCUUUAUUUGCAUUUUACAACUUUCAUUGGAAUAAUAUUUGAUUGAGUUAAAACUUUGAUUUAUGAAUUUACAAGUUUUUAUUUGUUUCUCUAUCAUAUGGUUGGCAUCAUUUCAGUCCAAUAACUCUCGAGAUAUAAAAGUUGAGGAAUUUAGCGCUGAUGAUUUCCUUUUUUCCUGCUGUUUAUAGAUAUGCUUGUCAUUUUAUUCAUUUUUCAUGUUAACUUUGUUCUACAAGCU